AUGGAUCCACCCGUGAUGGCCGAAGUUAGUUCCACCAAAGAACACGUCGACCUGGAGAGGAACUCCAAGGACCUGACCAUGGCUGCAGGCGACGUACAAGGUAACCCAACCAUCUUUGAGCUGGAGAUGAUCGAGGCGCAAGAGGAAGAUGCGGCGGCGGCGGCAUACGACGAGAUCGUCGCUCGAUACAGGAGGAAACGCGCUGACCGUAAGGCUCGGAUCGUCAAGGAGCUGGGCGAGGAGGCCUACCUCGAGCUCGAGGGCGGGGACGACUGCCUGGCCAACGACCCUGACUACGUGGAUGAGAUCAACCAGUGGAUCAGGAUACAAGAUGAAAGGCAUAAGGCGAAUCUCAGGCGUGGCAUACUUCCUGGCUACAAGAAACUUUCUGACUCCGACUUAUACUUAGAAAUAUACUCAUGCUUGCACCCGGACUCGGAAUCAGACUCGAACUCUGACUCAGAAGACAAUGAUGAUGAUGGUGGUCAUGAGGAUGAGGAGGCAGAGGAAAAUUCUGACUCCAAAGAAGAAGAAGAAGGUGAAGAAGAAGAGGGGGAGUUGGAGGCAGAGAAGUUUAUAUCUUUAGCGGAACGUAGGGCAGCGGCGGCGGAGGCAGCCCUCGGCGGGUUCGAAUGGCGGACGGGGCCACUAGUUUUAUCAUGGCCAUCAAAGGGAAAGAGCUGCCCGGCAUUUAGGACCUGGACAACAUGA
This 711-nucleotide ribosomal RNA is filed under the name Triticum aestivum (bread wheat). RNAcentral's name for it is "partial small subunit ribosomal RNA". The record is from RNAcentral. Lineage: Eukaryota; Viridiplantae; Streptophyta; Magnoliopsida; Poales; Poaceae.